AGCGUGAUGCGGACCGAACAAAAGUAGGGAAGCUGGUAAUUCGAACUGUCAAGAAAAGCCGCUAUUGUGUGAUAUGUGCCCGUACCGUAAACCGACACAGGUGGAUGAGGAGAGAAUCCUAAGGCCGGCGGGAGAAGCAUUGUUAAGGAACUCGGCAAAAUGACCCUGUAACUUCGGGAUAAAGGGUGCCUGCGCAAGCAGGCCGCAGAGAAUAGGCUCAAGCAACUGUUUAGCAAAAACACAGGUCUAUGCAAAACCGAAAGGUGAGGUAUAUGGGCUGACGCCUGCCCGGUGCUGGAAGGUUAAGAGGAGAGGUUAGAGCAAUCGAAGCUUUGAAUUUAAGCCCCAGUAAACGGCGGCCGUAACUAUAACGGUCCUAAGGUAGCGAAAUUCCUUGUCGGGUAAGUUCCGACCCGCACGAAAGGCGUAAUGAUUUGAGCGCUGUCUCGACAAUGCACCCGGUGAAAUUGAAGUACCAGUGAAGAUGCUGGUUACCUGCGCCAGGACGGAAAGACCCCAUGGAGCUUUACUCCAGCUUGAUACUGGGAUUCGGUUAUACAUGUACAGGAUAGGUGGGAGGCUAAGAAGUGAGGACGCCAGUCUUCACGGAGCCGCUGUUGGGAUACCACCCUUGUGUGACUGGGUUUCUAACCUGCAGCCGUGACCCGGCUGGGGGACAAUGUCAGGUGGGGAGUUUGACUGGGGCGGUCGCCUCCGAAAGGGUAUCGGAGGCGCUCAAAGGUUCCCUCAGAAUGGUUGGAAACCAUUUGCAGAGUGCAAAGGCAUAAGGGAGCUUGACUGCGAGACCGACGGGUCGAGCAGGUAGGAAACUAGGACUUAGUGAUCCGGUGGUAUAAAGUGGGAUUGCCAUCGCUCAACGGAUAAAAGCUACCCUGGGGAUAACAGGCUUAUCACUCCCAAGAGUUCACAUCGACGGAGUGGUUUGGCACCUCGAUGUCGGCUCAUCGCAUCCUGGGGCUGAAGUAGGUCCCAAGGGUUGGGCUGUUCGCCCAUUAAAGCGGUACGCGAGCUGGGUUCAGAACGUCGUGAGACAGUUCGGUCCCUAUCCGGCGUGGGCGUAGGAUAUUUGAGAGGAGCUGUCCUUAGUACGAGAGGACCGGGAUGGACUGACCUCUGGUGCAUCGGUUG
RNAcentral lists this ribosomal RNA (1149 nucleotides) under Clostridium sp. AF27-2AA. Its description in RNAcentral is "partial 23S ribosomal RNA". It matches the Rfam family "Bacterial large subunit ribosomal RNA", at positions 1560 to 2723 of the family's 2925-position model. Lineage: Bacteria; Bacillati; Bacillota; Clostridia; Eubacteriales; Clostridiaceae. The record is from RNAcentral.